AGAGUUUGAUCCUGGCUCAGGAUGAACGCUGGCGGCGUGCCUAACACAUGCAAGUCGAACGAUGAAACCGCCCUCGGGCGGACAUGAAGUGGCGAACGGGUGAGUAACACGUGACCAACCUGCCCCUUGCUCCGGGACAACCUUGGGAAACCGAGGCUAAUACCGGAUACUCCUCGCCCCCCUCCUGGGGGGCCCGGGAAAGCCCAGACGGCAAGGGAUGGGGUCGCGGCCCAUUAGGUAGUAGGCGGGGUAACGGCCCACCUAGCCCGCGAUGGGUAGCCGGGUUGAGAGACCGACCGGCCACAUUGGGACUGAGAUACGGCCCAGACUCCUACGGGAGGCAGCAGUGGGGAAUUUUGCGCAAUGGGGGCAACCCUGACGCAGCAACGCCGCGUGCGGGACGACGGCCUUCGGGUUGUAAACCGCUUUCAGCAGGGAAGAAAUUCGACGGUACCUGCAGAAGAAGCUCCGGCUAACUACGUGCCAGCAGCCGCGGUAAUACGUAGGGAGCGAGCGUUAUCCGGAAUCAUUGGGCGUAAAGAGCGCGUAGGCGGCCUCUCAAGCGGGAUCUCUAAUCCGAGGGCUCAACCCCCGGCCGGAUCCCGAACUGGGAGGCUCGAGUUCGGUAGAGGCAGGCGGAAUUCCCGGUGUAGCGGUGGAAUGCGUAGAUAUCGGGAGGAACACCAGUGGCGAAGGCGGCCUACUGGGCACCAACUGACGCUGAGGCUCGAAAGUGUGGGUAGCAAACAGGAUUAGAUACCCUGGUAGUCCACACCGUAAACGAUGAUUACUAGGUGUUGGAGGAUUGACCCCUUCAGUGCCGCAGUUAACACAAUAAGUAAUCCACCUGGGGAGUACGACCGCAAGGUUGAAACUCAAAGGAAUUGACGGGGGUCCGCACAAGCAGUGGAGUAUGUGGUUUAAUUCGACGCAACGCGAAGAACCUUACCAAGUCUUGACAUCCCUUGACAGACAUAGAAAUAUGUUUUCUCUUCGGAGCAAGGAGACAGGUGGUGCAUGGUUGUCGUCAGCUCGUGUCGUGAGAUGUUGGGUUAAGUCCCGCAACGAGCGCAACCCUUAUGGUCAGUUACUACGCAAGAGGACUCUGGCCAGACUGCCGUUGACAAAACGGAGGAAGGUGGGGAUGACGUCAAAUCAUCAUGCCCUUUAUGACUUGGGCUACACACGUACUACAAUGGCGUUAAACAAAGAGAAGCAAGACCGCGAGGUGGAGCAAAACUCAGAAACAACGUCCCAGUUCGGACUGCAGGCUGCAACUCGCCUGCACGAAGUCGGAAUUGCUAGUAAUCGUGGAUCAGCAUGCCACGGUGAAUACGAUCCCGGGCCUUGCACUCACCGCCCGUCA
This 1366-nucleotide ribosomal RNA is filed under the name uncultured bacterium. Its description in RNAcentral is "bacterial SSU rRNA". It matches the Rfam family "Bacterial small subunit ribosomal RNA". The record is from RNAcentral.